CUAUACAUGACUCUGCGCAUAUCAAUAAGCGGAGGAAAAGAAACUAACAAGGAUUCCCCUAGUAACGGCGAGUGAAGCGGGAAGAGCUCAAAUUUGAAAUCUUAAAGGGUUUCCCUUUACGAAUUGUAGUUUAAAGAAGUGUUUUCUGUUGAGGUUUUGGUAAAAGUUCUUUGGAAUAGGACAUCAUAGAGGGUGAGAAUCCCGUAUUUGACCUUUACUUUCAACUUUGUGAUACACUUUCAAAGAGUCGGAUUGUUUGGGAAUGCAGUCCAAAAUGGGUGGUAAAUUUCAUCUAAAGCUAAAUAUUGGCGAGAGACCGAUAGCGAACAAGUACCGUGAGGGAAAGAUGAAAAGAACUUUGAAAAGAGAGUUAAACAGUACGUGAAAUUGUCAAAAGGGAAGCGUUUGACACCAGUGUUGUUUUUCUGAAAAUCAAUUAAAGAACUGUUUAUGCUAAGCUGUUUAGACUUUAUCAGCUAAUCUGUUUAGUUUUGAGCUUUUCUUUAAUGCACUUUUCAGUUAACAAGUCAACAUCAAUUUCUUUUGCUGUAAAAAAGCUUGAGGAAGGUGGCUUGAGAUUCGUCUUAAGUGUUUAUAGCCUCUUGCCUAUGCAGUCGGAGAGAUUGAGGUCUGCAGCGUAGAUCCUUCGGGGCUAAAUGCAUUUGUGCUAAGUUAUAGCAUUUUAUAGACAACUUGUUGACUAUGAUUUGUCUUGUAGCUUACUCGCUUAUGUUAUUUUACCUACGCUUAGGAUGUUGAGCGCAUGUCUCUUCU
RNAcentral lists this ribosomal RNA (774 nucleotides) under uncultured Neocallimastigales. Its description in RNAcentral is "partial large subunit ribosomal RNA". It matches the Rfam family "Eukaryotic large subunit ribosomal RNA", at positions 22 to 642 of the family's 3401-position model. The record is from RNAcentral. Lineage: Eukaryota; Fungi; Neocallimastigomycota; Neocallimastigomycetes; Neocallimastigales.